This is a long non-coding RNA of Brachypodium distachyon (stiff brome), 444 nucleotides long. RefSeq lists it as uncharacterized. The record is from RefSeq and is a predicted model, not a curated record. The transcript has 2 exons. NCBI's taxonomy places the organism in Eukaryota, Viridiplantae, Streptophyta, Magnoliopsida, Poales, Poaceae.
UUAAAGUGUUCAUGUCCUAUUAUUAUGGUUAUUUAUAAAUUGGUCAUAUGAGCACAACAAAUUAGACGAUCUAUGACUCUUUGAAGGAGCAAGAACCAUCAGAAGGAAGAUCAUCAAUCAAGCGCAUCUAUCAAUACCAUAGCAACUCACUAGACUCAGGAAUCUGUUUUGAGAGGUGGGAUCAGUAAUAACUUUUUUCUCGGAGGCUUACUGCAUUCCAGAUUCAUCAGAUGUACAUAUAUCCUUCACGUGUGUUACCUUGCACAGCAGGUCAGCAGCAUAUAGUUGGAUGUUUACAUCAGCUAGGAACACGGCAGAGAUGAAAAAGAGCUUUAGUUUUGAAACUUUAUGACUGGGGAUCUGUAACUUGCAGCUGUACUUCUACUUAUGAUUUACAUUUUAGAAUACACUUUAGAAGAGGUGCUCCUGAGAUUGAUGUGCUUA